AUACGGAGGGGGCUAGCGUUGUUCGGAAUUACUGGGCGUAAAGCGCGUGUAGGCGGAUCGUUAAGUCAGGGGUGAAAGCCCGGGGCUCAACCCCGGAACUGCCCUUGAUACUGGCGAUCUAGAGUCCGGAAGAGGUGGGCGGAAUUCCCGGUGUAGAGGUGAAAUUCGUAGAUAUCGGGAGGAACACCAGUGGCGAAGGCGGCUCACUGGUCCGGCACUGACGCUGAGGUGCGAAAGCGUGGGGAGCAAACAGGAUUAGAAACCCUAGUAGUCC
Molecule: ribosomal RNA, 274 nt
Filed under: uncultured bacterium
Lineage: Bacteria
Description: partial 16S ribosomal RNA
Rfam family: Bacterial small subunit ribosomal RNA
Source: RNAcentral